CGCCCCUACCCUGGUAGAGGACUGAAGAGACACUCUUGGAAAGGGUUUGGAACCAAGUAUUCUCUGGACUCAGGGACACCAGACAACUCUUGGGCCCGGACUGGGGGACAUCUCAGAAAUGAGGUUUCAGUGAAAGCCUGCACACCAACAAUAAGAAUCCCAGACCCUUCUCCAGUUGGCUCCCAGGAUACUGGUAGAGAAGUUUAUAUUUUGCAGGCAGAAGAUGGAAGGUUUUCUCUCCAAGGGAAAUGAUGAGCCCAAGAAGAAAAAGACACUGGAGGGAAGCUGCAACAUGAAAGUAAGAGAGACACCAAACAACUUGAAAGGAAAUUUGCCAUAAAGACAUAAUCAAUACAGAGAGGGGGGAAAAUACUUCCGAAAUAGUCUUAGUGAGAUAAGAGAACAUUAAUCCUUAAAACAAGAACAGGAAACUAUAAAAAUAAUAUUCAGUAAGAAAAAUAUUUUAUACAUUAAAUUAUGAUGGCAGAAAAUUCAAAAACAUAUGAAUGGAAGCUAUGAAAAAUAAGCUUAGUAAAUCUCUCAGAAAGUAGAAUAAGAAGGUAGAGAUGGCCAACAUUAAAGGACAUGAAAUUAGAAAAUCAACCCAGAGUGCUCAAUGUCUAAAUAUUAGGACUUCUGAAAGGACAGAGAAAAAAGGGGAAAUUUAAUAAAGGCACUUGGAUAUUGAUUUCUACCCUGAGAAAUACCAUCAAGCAUCCAUCCCAUUAAAUUAAAAGAUGCCUUCACAUGUUUAUAUAAUUUUGACAUUAUUUUUGAAAUACACACCAGGGAAAAAAAAAAGAGUCCUAGAAAUGUCCGGGGAAAAAAUAAACAGCCCAUAUGCAAAGAGACCUGGAAUAGAAGUAGUAACUGACUUUUCCAAAGCAACCGUGGAAGCUGGACGACAAUAAAAAAAUUCCUUCAGGGAUCUAUGGAAAAUUAUUUCUAACCUAGAAUUUUAAUUCAGCCAAAUUAUUAAUGGAGUGUGAGGGUAGCAUAAAAAUAUUUUCAGUUGGUACAAAUAUAUUCAUGGGAUCUUAGUAUGCUUCUAAAGGCUGUGCUUCACCAAAUAUGAAAUAAACCAAAAGAGAAGAAGACACAAGAUUCAGUGAAAAAUUGCACUCGCAAUUUCCUGGAGGAAGGCCCAAGGAGGACUCAGGAGGACCACUGCACAUCAGGCCCCGAGACCCAGUGGUCUGCACUGGGACAGAAUGACUUUCUGAGGGAAACAACUGAAGAGAUAGAUUUGCCGAUGUAUUGAGAAGACUUUACACUUGCAUGCAUAGUUUGUUGAUUAAUGAGAAGCUUACAGAAAAAUAAAUGAAACAAUAUGUCAAAGUAGAGGAAAUAGGUAUUAAUAAUUCCAAGGGAAGCAGAAAUUUACCAGGAAUUUUGACUCUUUGUGAGUCAAUGGUGAAAAAUGUUUUACGUGAACUCUGAUCAAUUCUAUGGCCAAAGUCUUGAGUUUUGAUUCCAUCAGAAUUCUGUGAAAUAUGGAGAUUUGUAUAGAAGGGGAGUCAAUCCCUGGAAAUUGCAUACGUUUCAAGUAUUGGAAGACAGUCUCGGCAUUCAGGAAGCUAGCUGGCCCUUUGUCAGAAACAGAGAAGACAGCCAUUUAUGCUAGAAGAGUGGCAGGACCAACUAAACACAUGUGCCUCUAAUUUGUAAACUGAGUGUCUAUAAAUUAAGAAUGUUUUAAAUCUGUUUUAACAGGCAUCUUCUCAAGUAUCCUGGAUCACCUUUUUUGUUUGUUUUUUUAGGCAGGUACUCAUUCCGUCACCCAGGCUGGAGUGCAGUGGUGCAAUCAUGGCUCACUGCAGCCUGACCUCCUAGGCUCAAGCAGAUCCUUCUACCUCAGCUUCCUGAGUAGCUGAGACCACAGAACUGUCAAGGAAUAGCAGCACACUCACAACAAACACCCUUCGAAGAAAACCCAGGAAGACCCAUGCAAUAGAUUCCUGGGACUCAACUUAGAAGGCAUGGUGGUACUCUUCACUAUUUGUCUGCAGUGAUUUGUGGAAUAAAUCUCUCACUUUUCCUAA
RNAcentral lists this long non-coding RNA (2042 nucleotides) under Homo sapiens (human). Its description in RNAcentral is "HSALNT0337964". The record is from RNAcentral. Lineage: Eukaryota; Metazoa; Chordata; Mammalia; Primates; Hominidae.